AGCAGCCGCGGUAAUUCCAGCUCCAAUAGCGUAUAUUAAAGUUGUUGCAGUUAAAAAGCUCGUAGUUGAAUUUCGGGAUCAAGGAAUCGGUCAUGCCUUGGUAUGUACUGGUUUUAUUGGUUCUCACCUUCUAAAGAACCAUGAUGUCAUUCAUUUGAUGUUAUGGGGAAUUAGGACUGUUACCUUGAAAAAAUUAGAGUGUUUAAAGCAAGCUUACGCUUGAAUACAUUAGCAUGGAAUAAUGAAAUAGGACAUCAGAUUCUAUUUUGUUGGUUUCUAGGAUCGAUGUAAUGAUUAAUAGGGAUAGUUGGGGGCAUUAGUAUUCAAUUGUCAGAGGUGAAAUUCUUGGAUUUAUUGAAGACUAACUACUGCGAAAGCAUUUGCCAAGGAUGUUUUCAUUAAUCAAGAACGAAAGUUAGGGGAUCGAAGACGAUCAGAUACCGUCGUAGUCUUAACCAUAAACUAUGCCGACUAGGGAUCGGAUGAUGUUAAUUUUUAAUGACUCAUUCGG
Molecule: ribosomal RNA, 511 nt
Filed under: uncultured Glomus
Lineage: Eukaryota; Fungi; Glomeromycota; Glomeromycetes; Glomerales; Glomeraceae
Description: SSU rRNA
Rfam family: Eukaryotic small subunit ribosomal RNA
Source: RNAcentral